UGAGACCGAUGCGCGAUUUCCGUCCUCCCGUUGCGGGUUUCGGCUCGUUUCGGGGCCAAAGGGCGACGCGCUCCGCUUUGGUGACUCUGGAUAACUCACUGGUCGAUCGCACGGGCUUCCACG
Molecule: ribosomal RNA, 123 nt
Filed under: Onychoteuthis banksii (common clubhook squid)
Lineage: Eukaryota; Metazoa; Mollusca; Cephalopoda; Oegopsida; Onychoteuthidae
Description: partial small subunit ribosomal RNA
Source: RNAcentral